GUGCUUGCUUUGGCAGCACAUAUACUAAAUUGGAAUAAUACAAAGAAAAUUAGCAUGGUCCCUACACAAAGAUGACAUGCAAAA
Molecule: small nuclear RNA, 84 nt
Filed under: Loxodonta africana (African savanna elephant)
Lineage: Eukaryota; Metazoa; Chordata; Mammalia; Proboscidea; Elephantidae
Source: RNAcentral